GAAAUGCGAUAAGUAAUGUGAAUUGCAGAAUUCAGUGAAUCAUCGAAUCUUUGAACGCACAUUGCGCCCGCCAGUAUUCUGGCGGGCAUGCCUGUCCGAGCGUCAUUUCAACCAUCAAGCCCCCGGGCUUGUGUUGGGGACCUGCGGCUGCCCGAAGGCCCUGAAAACCAGUGGCGGGCUCGCUGUCACACCGAGCGUAGUAGCAAUCACCUCGCUCAGGGCGUGCUGCGGGUUCCGGCCGUUAAACAGCCUUACAAAACCCAAGGUUGACCUCGGAUCAGGUAGGAAGACCCGCUGAACUUAAGC
This 306-nucleotide unclassified non-coding RNA is filed under the name plant metagenome. RNAcentral describes it as "partial contains 5.8S ribosomal RNA, internal transcribed spacer 2, and large subunit ribosomal RNA". The stretch from base 1 to 105 matches the Rfam family "5.8S ribosomal RNA", at positions 50 to 154 of the family's 154-position model. The record is from RNAcentral.